RNAcentral lists this long non-coding RNA (356 nucleotides) under Mytilus galloprovincialis (Mediterranean mussel). The record is from RNAcentral. Lineage: Eukaryota; Metazoa; Mollusca; Bivalvia; Mytilida; Mytilidae.
AGAGUUUUUAUUUUUGGUUUAUGACCUGAGAAACAUUUUUUUAGUUUAAAUAAGGCCUUUAACCCUUUAUUAUACAUUUCAUGUUAGGCAUCUGUAAAUUUGCCAUUAAUACUAAAUUUGACACCCAAGUAGGUAUAAUUUUUUGUGUUUGUUAGGGGGGUAUUAUUUAAAUGAAAUUGAGUAGAAAGAAGUCUACCAGAAUUGCUUAAAAUCAUGACUUUGGAUUUAGUAAUGUUAACUUCCAGUCCCAAAUUAUUGCAAUAGAUCUGUAGUUUAUCAAGACAUUCUUGUAGACCCCUAGGAGUUUCAGAAAGCAAAAUUAGAUCAUCUGCAUACAUGAGACAAUUAAGUUUUGU